CCGUUGUGCCUUGCCUCCCGACGACUCGGCCGCGUCGAACCUCAGGACGAACGCUGGCGGCGUGCUUAACACAUGCAAGUCGAACGGGGUGUUUAGUUUCGGUUAAACACCAAGUGGCGAACGGGUGAGUAACGCGUAAGCAAUCUACCUUCAAGAUCGGGGACAACACUUCGAAAGGGGUGCUAAUACCGAAUGAAUGUAAGAGUAUCGCAUGAUCAGCUUAUAAAAGGCGGCGUAAGCUGUCCGCUAUGGGAUGGCCCCGCGGUGCAUUAGCUAGUUGGUAAGGUAACGGCUUACCAAGGCAAUGAUGCAUAGCCGAGUUGAGAGACUGAUCGGCCACAUUGGGACUGAGACACGGCCCAAACUCCUACGGGAGGCAGCAGUAGGGAAUCUUCCACAAUGGACGCAAGUCUGAUAGGAGCAACGCCGCGUGAGUGAAGAAGGUUUUCGGAUCGUUAAAGCUCUGUUGUUGGUGAAGAAGGAUAGAGGUAGUAACUGGCCUUUAUUUGACGGUAAUCAACCAGAAAGUCACGGCGUCGACGCGGCCG
Molecule: ribosomal RNA, 548 nt
Filed under: uncultured bacterium
Lineage: Bacteria
Description: bacterial SSU rRNA
Rfam family: Bacterial small subunit ribosomal RNA
Source: RNAcentral